RNAcentral lists this ribosomal RNA (219 nucleotides) under Clostridia bacterium. RNAcentral describes it as "partial 23S ribosomal RNA". It matches the Rfam family "Bacterial large subunit ribosomal RNA", at positions 2705 to 2925 of the family's 2925-position model. Lineage: Bacteria; Bacillati; Bacillota; Clostridia. The record is from RNAcentral.
ACCAAGGGUGUAUCAGUUGUCGUGCCAACGGCACAGCUGGGUAGCCAAGUGCGGAUCGGAUAAACGCUGAAGGCAUCUAAGCGUGAAGCCGACUUCAAGAUAAGAUCUCCCAUCCGAAAGGAGUAAGACCCCAUGAAGACCACAUGGUUGAUAGGUCGCAGGUGGAAGUGCAGCAAUGUACGGAGCUGAGCGAUACUAAUAGGUCGAGGGCUUGAUCUG